GAUGAACGCUGGCGGCGUGCUUAACACAUGCAAGUCGAACGAAGCAUUUAAGACAGAUUUCUUUGGGAUGAAGUUUUUAUGACUGAGUGGCGGACGGGUGAGUAACGCGUGGGUAACCUGCCUCACACAGGGGGAUAGCAGUUGGAAACGACUGGUAAUACCGCAUAAGCACACAGCUUCGCAUGAAGCAGUGUGAAAAACUCCGGUGGUGUGAGAUGGACCCGCGUCUGAUUAGGUAGUUGGUGAGGUAACGGCCCACCAAGCCGACGAUCAGUAGCCGACCUGAGAGGGUGACCGGCCACAUUGGGACUGAGACACGGCCCAGACUCCUACGGGAGCAGCAGUGGGAAUAUUGCACAAUGGAGGAAAACUCUGAUGCAGCGACGCCGCGUGAGCGAAGAAGUAUUCGGUAUGUAAAGCUCUGUCAGCAGGGAAGAUAAAUGACGGUACCUGACCAAGAAGCCCCGG
Molecule: ribosomal RNA, 468 nt
Filed under: uncultured bacterium
Lineage: Bacteria
Description: bacterial SSU rRNA
Rfam family: Bacterial small subunit ribosomal RNA
Source: RNAcentral